Molecule: non-coding RNA, 22 nt
Filed under: Arabidopsis thaliana (thale cress)
Lineage: Eukaryota; Viridiplantae; Streptophyta; Magnoliopsida; Brassicales; Brassicaceae
Source: RNAcentral
CAAGAAGGAGAGCCUCUGCUCG